Molecule: ribosomal RNA, 192 nt
Filed under: uncultured soil bacterium
Lineage: Bacteria
Description: partial 16S ribosomal RNA
Rfam family: Bacterial small subunit ribosomal RNA
Source: RNAcentral
AGAUUGAACGCUAGCGGGAUGCUUUACACAUGCAAGUCGAACGGCAGCGCGGACUUCGGUCUGGCGGCGAGUGGCGAACGGGUGAGUAAUAUAUCGGAACGUGCCCAGUAGCGGGGGAUAACUACGCGAAAGCGUGGCUAAUACCGCAUACGCCCGUACGGGGGAAAGGGGGGAUUCUUCGGAACCUCUCAC